Molecule: long non-coding RNA, 1143 nt
Filed under: Equus caballus (horse)
Lineage: Eukaryota; Metazoa; Chordata; Mammalia; Perissodactyla; Equidae
Description: lncRNA (ENSECAG00000057378.1)
Source: RNAcentral
CCUGCAUGGUGUGUGAAGACCUAGGCGCCUGUCUAGGGUGGCAGCAAGCAUCAAUUAUCUGACCAGUAUGCUGGGCACAUCGCUUCACCCACAGGAGCGUCCUCUUCCUUGUCUGAAAGCGAGGGUGGUCAUCCUCACCAGGCUGGGGCAAAGGAGGGGGCUGAAGGCCAGGGGCCGGCAGGGAGCAGACACCUGCCACGUUUCUUCCCUUUCUGCCCGCUGCAGUCACUGCUGAGCCACACACAGCUCUGCACACUGGGCGAGGACGACCCCUUCAGUGUGCCCGGGACAGUGGCCGCCCACCUUGGGGAGCAGCCGGCCGGAGACCUGGCCUGACGAGCAGCUCGGUGUGGGAGCCUGCUCCCACGUCCCCGCCAGGCGCCUUGUUGACCCAGGUGUGACUUCCUGGGAUGGGCUCUGAAGGAAUUGGAUGCAGCAGCACCGGAGAGGCGAUUAUCCAGAAUUGCUAAAAAGUUUACUGGAGCUGGAAGGAAACUUGAAGCUCAGGGCCAGGCGGGCCUCAGCCGAGCGCAGUGGGCCUCAGGACCGCUACAGAGAACCCAGUUCAAGCGAGGGGCACGACAUGGACUCUGAGAACUGCCACAGGGCUUUCCUUUACAGCCUGUCGACGGCAGCUUUGGACGGACCACGUUCCUAUUUUCAAUACAGUCCCGGUGACCAAUUUCUCAUUUUAUGGUUAGCACUUCUUGAGCACUGUUUCAGGAAAUCUUUACCUCUAAAAGCCCGGUUUUUUUCACCUUUCACACUUAGAUCUGCAAUCCACAGGGAAUGGAUUUUCAUGCCUCGUGGGAGGCACAGGUCGCAAUACGUUUUUCCCAUGUGAAUGCCCAGUUCACCCAGAAUUGUUAACGGAAAGAUCGCGUCCCCCCAUGCAAUGGGCUUCUCUUUCUUGUCUUUUAUACAUUCUGGAUUGUUAGAAGUAAUUACAACGAUAUUAUAUCAUCUUGUAAUUUAGAUGUGUACAUAUGACAAUAUUAAUAAUUGUUCAAAAGAUUAGAAACAGUUCAGAUGCCCUCCUUCGGGGGUCAGAUUAAACCAUUCAUGACUACACGCAGAUAACAGCCCGCCACCGAGCCACUGAAAAGGCUGGAGUAGAUCCGUGUGCGCUGACGCGGAUGGGCU